Molecule: ribosomal RNA, 229 nt
Filed under: uncultured bacterium
Lineage: Bacteria
Description: partial 16S ribosomal RNA
Rfam family: Bacterial small subunit ribosomal RNA
Source: RNAcentral
UAAAGUGGCGUACGGGUGAGUAACACGUGGGUAAUCUACCUCUGGGUGUGGAAUAACGCUGGGAAACCGGCGCUAAUACCGCAUAAGCUCGGGAGAGGAAAGCAGCAAUGCGCCGAGAGAGGAGCCCGCGGCCGAUUAGCUAGUUGGUGAGGUAACGGCCCACCAAGGCAAAGAUCGGUAGCCGGCCUGAGAGGGCACACGGCCACACUGGCACUGAGACACGGGCCAG